UAUGUCCAUAGAGUCACUCCAGUUGUGACAACUGUAUCACAUGUGCAUCGGUAGGUGGCACAGAUUUAGGUCCACUAUUUGUUUUCUGACCUGUAAAUAUCUGAAUGAUUAGUAACCUAACACU
Small nucleolar RNA from Rattus norvegicus (Norway rat), 124 nucleotides. Ensembl annotates it as small nucleolar RNA SNORA17. The record is from Ensembl. Lineage: Eukaryota; Metazoa; Chordata; Mammalia; Rodentia; Muridae.